UGCGUAGGCGGAAUAUUAAGUCAGUGGUGAAAUCCCAGAGCUCAACUCUGGAACUGCCAUUGAAACUGGUAUUCCUGAAUAUAGUUGAGGUAGGCGGAAUGUGUAAUGUAGCGGUGAAAUGCUUAGAUAUUACACAGAACACCGAUUGCGAAGGCAGCUUACUAAACUAUGAUUGACGCUGAUGCACGAAAGCGUGGGGAGCGAACAGGAUUAGAUACCCUGGUAGUCC
This 229-nucleotide ribosomal RNA is filed under the name uncultured bacterium. Its description in RNAcentral is "partial 16S ribosomal RNA". It matches the Rfam family "Bacterial small subunit ribosomal RNA", at positions 568 to 796 of the family's 1533-position model. The record is from RNAcentral.